RNAcentral lists this long non-coding RNA (1591 nucleotides) under Citrus maxima (pomelo). RNAcentral describes it as "long non-coding RNA (CMAX_LNC001992)". Lineage: Eukaryota; Viridiplantae; Streptophyta; Magnoliopsida; Sapindales; Rutaceae. The record is from RNAcentral.
AGAUGGGAGAAGUUAUGCCAUGCCAAGAUCAGGGGAGGGCUGGGUUUUAGGGAAUUCUCUAGCUUUAACCAGGCCUUAGUUGCUAAGCAAGGGUGGAGAAUUCUCCAAAAUCCGGAAUCUUUAAUGGCAAGAAUCUUAAAGGCAAAAUAUUUCAAGCAUACAAGCUUUAUGGAUGCAAAAUUAGGGUCACAACCUAGCUUUGUUUGGAGAAGUAUUCUAUGGGGUAGACAAGUGCUCCAUAAGGGCUUGAGGUGGAGGAUAGGCAACGAGAGACAAAUCUCAAUCUACAACAGAAACUGGAUUCAAAAACAUGAAUUAAAGAGCCAUGGCAUGCAUAUGGAGCUCCCCAAUGACACUGUAGUUGCUGACCUUAUAGAUGAGAGACAUCACUGGAAGGAGGAGAUAAUUUGCCAGCACUUCUCGAAGGAAGCCUCAGAAAGGAUUUUGCAGACCCCUCUGCCGAGAACCCUUCAACAAGAUACUCUCAUCUGGAAAUUUGACAAGCAUGGAAGUUACUCUGUCAAAAGUGGCUACCAGCUAGCUUUGAAGCAAAAGUUCUCAGACAAUCCAGGCUGCUCAGACACUACCAGAACUCACUGGGAGGUUGUUUGGGCAAAUGAGAUCCCUGAAAAAAGUUAAAGUUUUUAUGUGGAGAGCAGCACAAAAUCUGUUACCAACAGCAACAAAUCUGUGGAAGAGGAAAGUGAUAAUGGACCCAAUUUGCAAAAGAUGUAGCUGUAGAAGUGAAGAUGUCUUCCAUACCUUAUUGGAAUGCAAGGCUGCGAGAAAGGUGUGGAAAGCGACAGAGUUUUAUGAGGAGGUUAAGCAGAUGCUCCAUCAAGACAUGUUGAGUUUUCUCCAAGAAAUGGCUUAAAAAAGAACGAAGAAAGAUGUAGAAUUGAUUAUUGCUGUUUGUUGGGCGAUUUGGUACUCCAGAAACUGUUUUAUUUUUUAUGGCAAAGACGAGAAUCCUGUUAUUUCAGUGGCAUGAGCAGCAGCUAUUGUAGAGUCUUUCAAGAGGGUUAAAAUUUCAAAAGAUCAAGCAAUCUCAAGGCAUGGGCAAAUCAGUCAGCAAACAUGGACAGCUCCCCCAAAUGGCUGUUUUAAGGUGAAUGUGGACGCUGCAGUAAAAGUUUCAUAGCAUAAGGCAGGCUUGGGAGUAGUUGUAAGAAACUCCAGGGGAAGGGUUGUGGCAGUAGCAGUUCAAAAUGUUCAAUUUCGAGGCACUGUAGCUAGUGUGGAAGCGAAAGCUGUUUUGUUUGGAAUUGAAACUGCUCAACAGGUGGCUUGUGUGCCAAUGGUCAUUGAGUCAGAUUCAAAGGAGGUGGUGGAUCUGUCACUAAACAGAAAGGAAAGCAAGACAGAAAUUGAAUAUAUUAUUGUUGAAAUCCAGACAAAGCUUAGGAUCCAGAGCCAAGCAUCAAUUCAAUUUGCUCCAAGGGGCUGUAAUAUAGCUGCUCAUUCUGUAGCAAAGAAAGCUUUAGAAGUUGAAAAUCAGUGUAUUUGGCUGGAAAAUUUCCCAGAUCAUGUUUCGUUGUUACUGUCAAAGUUCUGUUAAUGGAAAGCUUUACUUCCUUCUAAAAAAAAAAAA